Molecule: ribosomal RNA, 440 nt
Filed under: uncultured bacterium
Lineage: Bacteria
Description: partial 16S ribosomal RNA
Rfam family: Bacterial small subunit ribosomal RNA
Source: RNAcentral
CCUACGGGAGGCAGCAGUGGGGAAUAUUGCACAAUGGGGGAAACCCUGAUGCAGCGACGCCGCGUGAGUGAAGAAGUAUUUCGGUACGUAAAGCUCUAUCAGCAGGGAAGAAAAUGACGGUACCUGACUAAGAAGCCCCGGCUAACUACGUGCCAGCAGCCGCGGUAAUACGUAGGGGGCAAGCGUUAUCCGGAUUUACUGGGUGUAAAGGGAGCGUAGACGGCAGCGCAAGUCUGGAGUGAAAUCCCAUGGCUUAACCAUGGAACUGCUUUGGAAACUGUGCAGCUAGAGUGCAGGAGAGGUAAGCGGAAUUCCUAGUGUAGCGGUGAAAUGCGUAGAUAUUAGGAGGAACACCAGUGGCGAAGGCGGCUUACUGGACUGUAACCGACGUUGAGGCUCGAAAGCGUGGGGAGCAAACAGGAUUAGAUACCCUAGUAGUC